Molecule: RNase P RNA, 403 nt
Rfam family: Bacterial RNase P class A
About the family: Ribonuclease P (RNase P) is a ubiquitous endoribonuclease, found in archaea, bacteria and eukarya as well as chloroplasts and mitochondria.
AGAGUGAGCUAAACGGUCGCGUGAUACUGCGGUAUAUGCGCUCAAAAACGCACGUAUUUGCAGGUAUUAUGAGGAAAGUCCGGGCUCCUAAGAGCAAGAUGCCAGCUAACAGCUGGGCAGAGUAAUCUGACGGAUAAGUGCCACAGAAAAGAAAACUCGCGCUGUAUACGUGCCACAUUUCGUGACAACAUACAACGCGAAAAGCUGAAACGGUGCGGUAAGAGCGCACCAGUGCAUUGGUAACAAUGUAGCUUGGUAAACCCCAUCUGGAGCAAGCGCAAGUAGGAAUGCGAUACAGGCGCUCUUCUGUGCAUUCGGGUUGCGUGCUUGAAGCAUGUAGUGAUAUAUGCUCUAGAUAAAUGGCCGUUCACGACAGAACCCGGCUUAUAGGCUCACUCGCUUU